RNAcentral lists this ribosomal RNA (1399 nucleotides) under Pseudomonas sp. Ag1. RNAcentral describes it as "bacterial LSU rRNA". It matches the Rfam family "Bacterial large subunit ribosomal RNA", at positions 1560 to 2925 of the family's 2925-position model. Lineage: Bacteria; Pseudomonadati; Pseudomonadota; Gammaproteobacteria; Pseudomonadales; Pseudomonadaceae. The record is from RNAcentral.
GAGCUGAUGACGAGUCAUCUUUUAGAUGACGAAGUGGUUGAUGCCAUGCUUCCAAGAAAAGCUUCUAAGCUUCAGGUAACCAGGAACCGUACCCCAAACCGACACAGGUGGUUGGGUAGAGAAUACCAAGGCGCUUGAGAGAACUCGGGUGAAGGAACUAGGCAAAAUGGCACCGUAACUUCGGGAGAAGGUGCGCCGGUGAGGGUGAAGGACUUGCUCCGUAAGCUCAUGCCGGUCGAAGAUACCAGGCCGCUGCGACUGUUUAUUAAAAACACAGCACUCUGCAAACACGAAAGUGGACGUAUAGGGUGUGACGCCUGCCCGGUGCCGGAAGGUUAAUUGAUGGGGUUAGCUAACGCGAAGCUCUUGAUCGAAGCCCCGGUAAACGGCGGCCGUAACUAUAACGGUCCUAAGGUAGCGAAAUUCCUUGUCGGGUAAGUUCCGACCUGCACGAAUGGCGUAACGAUGGCGGCGCUGUCUCCACCCGAGACUCAGUGAAAUUGAAAUCGCUGUGAAGAUGCAGUGUAUCCGCGGCUAGACGGAAAGACCCCGUGAACCUUUACUAUAGCUUUGCACUGGACUUUGAAUUUGCUUGUGUAGGAUAGGUGGGAGGCUUUGAAGCGUGGACGCCAGUUCGCGUGGAGCCAACCUUGAAAUACCACCCUGGCAACUUUGAGGUUCUAACUCAGGUCCGUUAUCCGGAUCGAGGACAGUGUAUGGUGGGUAGUUUGACUGGGGCGGUCUCCUCCUAAAGAGUAACGGAGGAGUACGAAGGUGCGCUCAGACCGGUCGGAAAUCGGUCGUAGAGUAUAAAGGCAAAAGCGCGCUUGACUGCGAGACAGACACGUCGAGCAGGUACGAAAGUAGGUCUUAGUGAUCCGGUGGUUCUGUAUGGAAGGGCCAUCGCUCAACGGAUAAAAGGUACUCCGGGGAUAACAGGCUGAUACCGCCCAAGAGUUCAUAUCGACGGCGGUGUUUGGCACCUCGAUGUCGGCUCAUCACAUCCUGGGGCUGAAGCCGGUCCCAAGGGUAUGGCUGUUCGCCAUUUAAAGUGGUACGCGAGCUGGGUUUAGAACGUCGUGAGACAGUUCGGUCCCUAUCUGCCGUGGACGUUUGAGAUUUGAGAGGGGCUGCUCCUAGUACGAGAGGACCGGAGUGGACGAACCUCUGGUGUUCCGGUUGUCACGCCAGUGGCAUUGCCGGGUAGCUAUGUUCGGAAUAGAUAACCGCUGAAAGCAUCUAAGCGGGAAACUAGCCUCAAGAUGAGAUCUCACUGGAACCUUGAGUUCCCUGAAGGGCCGUCGAAGACUACGACGUUGAUAGGUUGGGUGUGUAAGCGCUGUGAGGCGUUGAGCUAACCAAUACUAAUUGCCCGUGAGGCUUGACCAUAUAACACCCA